Pipistrellus kuhlii (Kuhl's pipistrelle) is the source of this 1135-nucleotide long non-coding RNA. RefSeq lists it as uncharacterized. NCBI's taxonomy places the organism in Eukaryota, Metazoa, Chordata, Mammalia, Chiroptera, Vespertilionidae. The record is from RefSeq and is a predicted model, not a curated record. The transcript is spliced from 2 exons.
GUCUUUUUAUAUUCAGCUGUGGUUGAUGUGAAUACUGCCCCCUUGUGAUAGUAACAGCAAACCAUCCCAUGACAAUGGAUUGUGUAGAGAACAUUAAGAAAAGAAAAUAUAGUGGGGAUUUUUUACAGUAUGGUUUUACCUCAAUAAAUACAGCAAGAAUUGAGAAACCGCAAUGUGUUAUUUGUAGUGAAGUUCUAUCAGCCGAAUCUAUGAAGUUGAACAAACUAAAAUGCCAUUUUGUUAGCAAGCAUCCGAGCUUUGCUGGCAAGGAUACCAACUAUUUUAGAAGCAAAGCUGAUGGACUCAAGAAAGCCAGACUUGACACUGGUGGCAAGUACCACAAACAAAACAUAGCAGCUGUUGAAGCUUCAUAUUUGGUGACACUCGGAAUUGCCAGAACUAUGAAACCUCACACCAUUGCUGAAGAUUUACUGUUGCCAGCUGCCAAAGACAUUGUUUGAGUUAUGAUCGGAGACAAAUUUGUUAUGAAAUUGAGUGCAAUUUCCAUAUCUAACAACACUGUCCACAGAAGAAUAGAUGGCAUGUAUGCUGGUAUUCUUGAUCAGGUAAUCCAGAAUAUUAAAUCUGCUCCACUUCCAAUAUUUAGUAUCCAACUUGAUGAAUCUACAGGUGUUGCAAACUGUUCACAGUUACUGGUUUACGUGAGGUAUAUUAAUGAAUACAACUUUAAAGAUGAGUUUCUUUUUUGCAAACCUCUUGAAAUGACAACUAUUACACGUGAUGUAUUUGACACAGUUGGUUCAUUUCCGAAAGAGCAUAAGAUCUCUUGGGAAAAGGUUUGUGGUUUUUACACAGAUGGUGCUCUAGCUAUGCUGGGAUGUAGAUUGGGAUUUCAACGUUUGGUAUUGAAUGAGUCACCAAAAGUCAUCGGAACUCACUGUAUGAUUCAUCAGCAAAUAUCAGCAAUAAAGACACUGCCACAGAGUUACAAGAAGUAAUGAAAAGCACCAUAAAUUCUGUCAAAUUUGUAAAGGCAAGCACUUUAAAUAGUCGACUGUUUUUGCAACUGUUCAACGAGUUGGAUGCGCCGAACAAUGCUCUACUAUUUCACACUGAAGAGAGAUGGUUGUUGAGAGGAAAAGUUUUAAAACGAGUUUUUGAGCUUCGUGCUGAA